AAACUACUGCCCUCCCACAGUUCUGAUCCCACCCCUAAAUACGUGUUUCCGGUAACAGAGGCGUCUAUAGGCUCAGCCAAUACCGUGCGUAAGGGGCGGGGCUACAGCCUGAAGCAGGAAGUGAAGCUGAAGGUCUGAGCAAAGAGAUCAGAGGGACGGCGAGAGAUCAGAGAUAAGAUGUCCUCUCCCACCCCUCAACCCCAUAACCGCAGCCGAAAGGCGGACGAUGAAGAGGACCCCCUGGAGCACAUGAUUGGCCGGACAGGGUGCGCGUGGGCUCAUUACGCUGUACAGGAAUGCAUGGCGGAGCAGCAGGACUGGAGGAAAUGCCAGACACACGUGCAGAGCUUUAAGGACUGUAUGCAAGCCUAUCAGCAGCAGCGGGCAGCACAACUGCACAAACUGAGGCACAGCAGCAGCAGCAGCACAUGAACUCCUAAGUGCCCCGCUGUACUGCCCAACUGCACUGACUGACUGGCCAAUGAGACGCCUGCAUUUUAUACUGCUGUGUAAUAAUAAUUCUGUGUGUGCAAUAAACUUACCCUUUCCUACUCA
Xenopus laevis (African clawed frog) is the source of this 555-nucleotide long non-coding RNA. RefSeq lists it as uncharacterized. Lineage: Eukaryota; Metazoa; Chordata; Amphibia; Anura; Pipidae. The transcript has 2 exons. The record is from RefSeq and is a predicted model, not a curated record.